This 430-nucleotide unclassified non-coding RNA is filed under the name soil metagenome. RNAcentral's name for it is "partial contains 5.8S ribosomal RNA, internal transcribed spacer 2, and large subunit ribosomal RNA". The stretch from base 1 to 120 matches the Rfam family "5.8S ribosomal RNA", at positions 35 to 154 of the family's 154-position model. The record is from RNAcentral.
GAUGAAGAACGCAGCGAAAUGCGAUACGUAAUGUGAAUUGCAGAAUUCAGUGAAUCAUCGAAUAUUUGAACGCAUAUUGCGCUCUCUGGUAUUCCGGAGAGCAUGCUUGUUUGAGUAUCAGUAAACACCUCAACUCCCUUUUCUUUUUUGAAAUUGGAGCUGGACUUGAGUGAUCCCAACGCUUUCUUCCAAGAAAGUGGCGGGUUGCUUGAAAUGCAGGUGCAGCUGAACUUUUCUCUGAGCUAUAAGCAUAUCUAUUUAGUCUGCCUAAAAAACAGAUUAUUACCUUUGCUGCAGCUAACAUAAAGGAGACUAGUUCUUGUGCUGACUGAUGCAGGAUUCACAGAGACAGCUUCGGCUGACUUUGUAAACUCGAUCUCAAAUCAAGUAAGACUACCCGCUGAACUUAAGCAUAUCAAUAAGCGGAGGA